UUUCCCCUGCCUAUCCUCAUUCCAUCAAAUUCUCCAUAAGCAUUAUCACCGGUACAGGUACAAUAGGACAUGUGGAUAUAUGGAUGCCCACAUGCCGAGGGGACCUAAUAUGGAUUCCACCUCACACUAUACGAACUCUAAUUAUUUAUUGUAAUCUACUGUAAUCUAUUGCAAACAACUAUUUGACAGAAGUGACUGCAGUCACAAGAUCAUAUGAACUCUCUUUCAAGUGCAAAAGGAAUGCUGGCCGCCACGAUGCUGAGUGCUUGUGCUGCUUCAAUUCAUUUAACAAGACUGAGCAAAGGAGCUUUGAGUCAGUGUUUCUGUUAGGUAGAGAGAGAAAAACCGACAAAGACAGUAUACAACAAACUAUUGAAGGAACACAUUUCUUAGAUAUUUGUAGCUGUUAACAAAUUAAGAAGAGCAGCAAACAUGUUUUUAGAA
Cryptotermes secundus is the source of this 444-nucleotide long non-coding RNA. RefSeq lists it as uncharacterized. Lineage: Eukaryota; Metazoa; Arthropoda; Insecta; Blattodea; Kalotermitidae. The transcript has 2 exons. The record is from RefSeq and is a predicted model, not a curated record.